This 179-nucleotide ribosomal RNA is filed under the name uncultured Saccharomycodes. Its description in RNAcentral is "partial 26S ribosomal RNA". It matches the Rfam family "Eukaryotic large subunit ribosomal RNA", at positions 62 to 239 of the family's 3401-position model. Lineage: Eukaryota; Fungi; Ascomycota; Saccharomycetes; Saccharomycodales; Saccharomycodaceae. The record is from RNAcentral.
AAACCAACCGGGAUUGCCUUAGUAACGGCGAGUGAAGCGGCAAAAGCUCAAAUUUGAAAUCUGGUACCUUCGGUGCCCGAGUUGUAAUUUGUAGAAUUUAUUUUGGGGCUGUUCCUUAUCUAUGUUCCUUGGAACAGGACGUCAUAGAGGGUGAGAAUCCCGUAUGAUGAGGAGUGCAG